RNAcentral lists this ribosomal RNA (253 nucleotides) under uncultured bacterium. RNAcentral describes it as "partial 16S ribosomal RNA". It matches the Rfam family "Bacterial small subunit ribosomal RNA", at positions 524 to 776 of the family's 1533-position model. The record is from RNAcentral.
GACGGAGGGGGCUAGCGUUGUUCGGAAUUACUGGGCGUAAAGCGUGCGCAGGCGGUUAUGUAAGACAGGUGUGAAAUCCCCGGGCUUAACCUGGGAACUGCAUUUGUGACUGCAUAGCUAGAGUACGGCAGAGGGGGAUGGAAUUCCGCGUGUAGCAGUGAAAUGCGUAGAUAUGCGGAGGAACACCGAUGGCGAAGGCAAUCCCCUGGACCUGUACUGACGCUCAUGCACGAAAGCGUGGGGAGCAAACAGG